This is a long non-coding RNA of Ziziphus jujuba (common jujube), 389 nucleotides long. RefSeq lists it as uncharacterized. The transcript is spliced from 2 exons. The record is from RefSeq and is a predicted model, not a curated record. Lineage: Eukaryota; Viridiplantae; Streptophyta; Magnoliopsida; Rosales; Rhamnaceae.
CUCUUUGCUACCACAAUGAGCAACUUUAUCUAGUUUUCUUUCAGGGGAAAAUGCAGUUGAUAUACCAUUGACCACAGAGUGUUCAUAUGUUCCCUGGCAUUCCGAACCAUCGAUAUAGCAAUGAUGGUGGAAACCAUACCAACAGUGACCCCGAGGAAGAAAAGAACCAUUCCCUUGGAAGAGCCUGGCAAAAAUACAAAAUUUUCAGCACUAACUUCUCUAUAUUUAAGCCAAAAAAAAAAAAAAAUUGUUUCUCUGUCUGUGUGUUGAAAAGAAAGAGAUAAUAAACUUGGCUAUGAAUUUUGGUAUAUUUCAGAUAACUGUAAAGCUCACAUCAAAUUGUUAUAGAAUAGAAGAUAUUCCAUAGAAUCAUAAUGUUAUACUUUCUU